This 6407-nucleotide long non-coding RNA is filed under the name Marmota monax (woodchuck). The record is from RNAcentral. Lineage: Eukaryota; Metazoa; Chordata; Mammalia; Rodentia; Sciuridae.
GGGGUACGGGGGUUUGGGCCCAGUUCUGGAUUUCCCCUGGACCUCAAUUACUGAGAUAAGAAAUGAAAGGCCCUCGGGGCUGGUGGUGCCUGCCUGUGACCCCAGCCCUUCAGGAGCUGGGCAGGAAGCUGGCAAGCCGGAUGCCACCCUUGGCCACCCAGUGAGUCCCUACCUCAAACAACACGAAAAAGGGGGCUGGAGGGGGACCUAAGUGGGGUCAUUGCUUAGAGUGUGCACAGCCCUGGGCCCCCUCCUCAGCACCACGAAAAAUAAGAAUUAAAAAGCCUUUGGAGUUGUCCAGCUCACUGACCUUGUUUGAGGCUCAGAGAGAGGGACCCCUGUGGUCACACAGCAAGGCAGGGACAGAACUGGGGGUUCUGCAGCCUGGGCAUUUGGAGCAAGUUCCCCUUGGAGAGGACACAGUGGGAGCCGUCUCCCAGCUGGGUUGCUUGGUGCUGGGUUGCUCAGUGCUGGGUACCUGGUGCUGGGUUGCUCUGUGCUGGGUUGCUCAGUGCUGGGUACCUGGUGCUGGGUUGCUCGGUGCUGGGUCUGAACUCCAAACAGCCCAGCCGAUGGUGGUAAUAAUGACAGCUUCCACUGUCAACCAUGCCGGGGGCUGUGUGUAACUUUUCCCUCCUGGACCUGUGAAGAUAAGCCCAGCAGUCCCACAUCUUGGAGCUGGACACCAAGGCUCAGAGGGGCAAUCCAUGUCAUUAUUUGUCAAGACCCUCCCGACCAGGAAGUGGCAGUGCUACGAUUUUAACCCACAUGAGUGUAACUCCAAGGCUCAAACCCUUCCCCUGGAUUACUAACCCCAAUUAACAUGUAUGUGCCCAUUUUUCAGACGAGAAAACCGAGUAGUGGUGACAAGCCCUCUCUCUGGGGCCGCUUUAGCUUUACAAGAACUCAGAGCCGGGACACUCUGGUGCCUGUGGCCCAAAGAUGAAGACAAAGCCUUGCUGGUGCCUGCUCACUUGACCUUCGAUGCCCAGUGUCCACGGUGACUGGGUUUCUCCCAGAUGUCUCUGCUGUCCCGGCAUUCUCUUCAACCCCCUUCCCCUUUCCUGUCUCCGUCCCUCUACACUUCAAUAUUUGGGGUCAAGCUAAAGGAGCCUAGAAGAACUAAUUCCAACCUCAGCUUAGUCAUUUACUUGCUGUGUGACCUUGGGCAACUCACUUAACCUCCCUGGGUCUCACUUUGCUCAGCUGUCAAGUGGGAAAAGUUUUGUCUAAGUCUGAGCCUAUGACUGGCCAUGCAUAUUGGUUAGAAGGAAAGGGGAUAUUUAUUGUGCCCCUACCAUUUGUCACACCUGGCAUGAGAUAUUGGGGACCCUGAAGUGGGCCAAGCAGACACUUCCUGGGUAUGUUUCUGGGACGGUGGACGGAGGACGGUGUGGUGCAGGAGGUGGAGUAACGGGUUUUGUCAGUGUGGGCAGAAGAUGAGGGCCAUAAACCAGGAGGAAGGGUGGGAAUGACUAAUCUGAUAGGAGAGGGAGAAGAGCCCCGGCCUCGGCUGUAAGCGAUGGAUCAGGACUGGAACCGAGUCUGAUUUCGGGGCGCCUGGUCCCGCCGUCCCCAGCCCUGCAGAGAGCCCCGCCCACAGGAGAUUAAAGUCCCACUAGCGUCCGGACGUGUUCAGGGGGCUAGGUCUGUCCCCUGUAGUGCAAGUCCCCACCCCAGCACGAGCUGGAAGGAGCUGGGGCAGGAGUCGCCCCGCCCCCAGAGGCAGGGGGAGGGGUCGCCUCAAGGCCCCGCCCCCAGGUGUCCGGGCCGGGAGCCGCGGGGCCUCUCCUGCCAGCUCGGUGCUGAGCCUGGCCAGCGGGGCCCCAGUCUCGGUCCGGCUCUGGCUUCAGCCUCUCCAGUCCCCAAACCUGGGCAGCGCCCGCGUGCCAAAGGAGCCGCUGGGGCGCGGGAGGGGUCCAGGACGCAGCCGGCUCUUGGGAAACCUGGUGAAUUCUGCAGCGCACUCCUCCUCCUCCUCCUCCUCCUCCUCCUCCUCCUCCUCCUCCUCCUUAGGUGUAGGUCUCUCUCUCUCUCUCUCUCUCUCUCUCUCUCUCUCUCUCUCUCUCUCUCUGCCUCCAUCCCUAUCCCUCUCUCUGCAUAAUCUGUCCCUUCUAUUUCUGGCUGAUACAAGGGCCACUUGGCGUCCAGGGUCUACACUGCAGACUGCUCACAACCCACCUCUGUGGGUGGCGGAAACCCAGAAGCUGGCCCAGCUGACCUUGCUGCGGGCCUGAGGAGUGCAGGCUCCCCUCCUCCCUCCCCAGAGCAGCUGAGCAAACACAGGAGUGUGGGGGGGUGGGGUGGGAGCAGAAGAGCUGGGGACAGACCCCAGGGGAGGGCGGGCUGAGACCUGAGUGCAAGGUGAGGUCUCUGCAGAAGACAGUGGACCCAGCGGUGCUGGAAGCCAGGUAUGGUGGCUCUCAUCUGGAAUCCCAGCAACUCGGGAGGCUGAGACAGGAGGCUCUUGAGUUGAAGGCCAGCCUGGGCCAUUUAGCAAGACCCUAUCUCAAAAUGAAAAGGGCUGGGGGUGUGGCUCAGCGGUGGAGCACCCCUGGGUUCAGUCCCCACUACGGAGGGGGGGGAAGCCAAGUCGAAUGACCAGUCCCGUGGUCGGGCUGGGCCCUGGGGACCCUUCCCCAUGCACAAGCUGUCCAUCUCCAAAUGGCCUCCACAUCUAGUGGAGAGGCUCCUGUUCAUCAUAAAUGGCCACUGGAUGAGUGAGCUGGGUCUGGGCUAGGCCAGGAGGCCCUAGGAGGAGGCAUUUCAGAGCAAGGUCUGGGGAGACAGGAAGGGAUGGCCCCCACCAAGGAGCUGGGGCCAGAAGGGGCCUGGGCGGCACCAGCCCCGCCACCUCAGCCGGGGGGAGGUUCUUUCCGGCCUCCCUCUGUCCACCCCACCCCCACCCCAUGGUGACUUCCUUGUUUAAGGCUCCCACCGCCUCCCACCCCCACCCCAGUAACCAGAGCCCGGAUCUCUGCCCAGCUCCAGAUCCUCUUGCUGGGACCUCCCCUGGGCUGUGGUUUUAGCAAACAAUUUGGAACCUUCUGAGGCCUGGCAGAGGAGGCCUCCUGCACUCCUUCUCAGGGGGCUUAAGAUGCUCUGGCCCUGGGAUAAGAGCAACAGGGCAGGCAGUAGAGAAGGCCGCGGGGAGGGGCCACAUUUGUGACCUCAGCUGUGUGAUGCGAAAGGUGAGCUUGGAAAUGGAGCAGGGGGUCCUGGUGCUCUAUAGAUCAGGUCCAUGGACUCCCAUCUGCUCUGCACACAGCCCUGGGACUGUAACGUAUCACAGAUGAAUGGGUUGAAGCCAGAGAGGGUAAGUAACUUACCAAAGGACACACAGCAGAAAAUACAAGGAUCGGUAUAUGGACUCCAGAGUUCCUGCUUGUAAGCGCAGGGCACACUGACUCCAGGGGGGUAAAGGCCUGGGCAGGGUUGGUGAAUAGCAGAUGUUUGAAGGGCAGGGCACAGGAAGACGGGCCCAGACAGGUGGGCAGGGUCCAGGUCAGGUGGCGCCUUAGAGGACAUGUUCCUGACUAUGGAACUUCCAGGUAGGACGUUCUUUGGAGAAACGGUUUGCUGCUGACAGAUACACUGGAAGCCCCUGGGCUAGCUGACUGGAGAGCCCUCUGGCAGGAAGAUUUCCGGGUGGCCUCUGCUCAGAUCAGCGGGGCAGUGGGCGCCCAGUCCUAUCUGAGGUUUUGCUCAGUCCAGUCCAGAAGCGUGAUGAGCAGGGGACAGUAGGACUCUGAGCCAGGAUGGAGAGUCCUUCCUACCCAGACCCUAACACCACCCUGCAACCAGGAGACCCUGGGCAGGUCACCUGAGCACUCUGAGUCUCACACACCAGUCGCCUGUCCCCCUGGCCUGUCAGAGGAUCAGCAUGGCAGUGGUCCUCUGUGACCCAUCCCAGUGACCCACCCACUAGGCACAAGUGACACCCUCUUUAGACAGUUCCUGAGAAAAUGACGAGAGUGCCAGGUCUCUGUAUCUGGGUGGCCUUUGACAACCUGAAGAAACACAGUGGCACCUGACUCCAUCGACCCUCACACAGGCCCAGAAGCCAGCGGGGCACGUUCUGGUCCCAUCAGAAUAAGAGGCUCUUGUCAUGUCAUUGGAGCAACCGAGACACCCACAGGGAGGGAUUCCUGUGAGCAAGGGGCGCUCCCCCCUCAAAGGAAUGCACCUGCAGGCUGUCACCUUCAUAGUCUUGCUGUCUCCUCCCAAACCCAGAUUGGAAUCCCAACAACAAUAACGAUAAUAAAUGGCCGUAAUUAUAAAAGAGCACAGUAAUUAUUUUUUUAAGAGAGAGAGAGAAUUUUUUUUAAUAUUUAUUUAUUUAUUUUUUUUAGUUUUCGGCGGACACAACAUCUUUGUUUGUUUGUGGUGCUGAGGAUCGAACCCGGGCCGCACGCAUGCCAGGCGAGCACACUACCGUUUGAGCCACAUCCUCAGCCCAAGCACAGUAAUCAUAACUGCUUCUAGCAGGACAGGGUGGUGCAUACCUGUAAUCUCUGUGACUCGGGAGGCUGGGGCAGGAGGAUUGCAUAUUCAAGGCCAGCCUCAGCAACUCAGUGAGGCCCUAAGUAAUGUGGAGAAACCCUGUCUCUAAAUAAAAUAUAAGGGCUACGGUGUGGGGCUGGGGACAUAGCUCAGUUGGCAGAGAGCUUGCCUAGCAUGUACAAGGUCCUGGGUUCAAUCCCCAGCAACACCCAAAAGGGGGGGGGGGGCUGAGGAUGUGGCUCAGUGGUAAAGCACCCGAAUUAGGUGAUUCAGUCCUCAGGACCUUCUAUCCAUGAAGUAGGGACAUUGCUGUUCUCACUUUGCAGGUGACAAAGCAAAGGCUCAAGGACAUUCAGGAAGAGGCGGAUCCUGGCUUUGAACCUAAGACCAGCCCCUGGCACCAAGACCCCCAGCAUGAAUCCCCACCCAGCUAUGGGGGUGGCGGUAGGGGGGUGCCCCACUGUACUUGACUCUCUGUCUCCCACUGCCCUCAGCAUUUUGCUUUGUGCAUGCCUGAGGGUCCCGUGCCAAUCAGGUGAUGUAAACCCUGUCGUCCUUCCAGUGCCGAGGGCGGAGCCCAGAGCCUCACGUGUGCCAGGCCUGCGCUCUACCACUGAGCCCACCGGACCUUCCCGGGGCUUCAGAGGGUUGGGAUCAGGGGGGUGAGAAAGAGUGGAAAGAGUGGGCUGUGAGCUCACACCUGGAUUUGGACUUCAGCUUCAUCUCUGUCAUAUCUGUCCGUGUGUCUCUGUCUCUCUCUCUCUGUCAUUGAUAGUCGGGCACCGGACCCCUGAGCCACCUCGCCAGCCCUACUUUGAUUGGUAUUUAGAGACAGGUCUCUCUGAUGCUUGGCAGCUCGCCAUUGCUGAGGCUGGCUGGGAACUCAGGUCACCACACUGGCUCAGCUUCAUCUCUUAAGGGUCAAGUGUGACCAUGACCUUGACAUCCUCAUGGGUUUUAUUUCACACUGAAUCCCCCUCAUCCAGGAGGGAAAAUAAAGCAGCCAGGCCACAGGCCUUGGAAGAACACAAAGCGUGGCCCCGAGGGCUUCUCACCCGAGUUCCAGGAACCAGGAACCGUGGGCAGCUGGGCUCUGGCAUGGAGGUCGCAGGUGAGUCAAGGUCGUGAAUAGCUGCCCUCCACGCGUGGACAUUUCCCAGAUUUCCUGUGUCGUCACAAGUGUUCUUAAACAUGGAAGAGGGGGACAGAGGAGGGUCAGAAGAGUGUGGCAUUGGUGUCCCUGAGGACAGAAGAAGGGCCUCUAGCAGCCAGCAAAGACAAGGAGGCAGAUCCUCCCGAGUCAGGAGCCCAUGGGAACCAAGCAGCCUCUGCCUUACCUGUGGCUCCUGAGACCUGUUGACCCCCGCACACACACCACCCCCCACUGAAAGAUGGUACCUUCCUGUUCUAUUGUAGUAGUUUGUACCAAGGGUUGAACCCAGGGGUGCUUCACCACUGAGCUGCAUCUCCAGCCCUUUUUUGUAUUUUGUUUACAGGGUCUUUCUGAGUUGCUUAGGGCCUCAGUAAGUCGCUGAGGCUGGCCUUGAACUUCAGAUCCUCCUGCCUCAGCCUCUAGAACUGCUGGCAUUACCGGAUGCGCCACAGUGCCGGGCUCCCCGUAGUUUUAAAUUACCAGGUGUGUGGCCAUUUGGUAGCAACCAAGAAUCAGCAAAUGUUGGUUCCCACUCCUCCCUGCACCCAGCACCCUCCCCAUCCAAUUGUGCAAGUCCUUUAUUUUUAAUGUUUGUUGCUGCAGAUGGAACCCAGGGCUUUGGGCUGCUAAAUACAUGCUGUGGCACUGAGCUAUGUCCCUGCCUUUUUAUUUUAUCCAUGAAGAAAACAGGCUGGGGGUGGCCUGGAGGGUACCUAAGGACACACAGCCACCAGGUGGCCGUGGAGCCAGG